Molecule: unclassified non-coding RNA, 269 nt
Filed under: Yuchengia narymica
Lineage: Eukaryota; Fungi; Basidiomycota; Agaricomycetes; Polyporales; Polyporaceae
Description: partial internal transcribed spacer region
Rfam family: Eukaryotic small subunit ribosomal RNA (bases 1-46)
Source: RNAcentral
AAGUCGUAACAAGGUUUCCGUGGGUGAACCUGCGGAAGGAUCAUUAUCGAGUUUUGAAACGGGUUGUAGCUGGCCUUCUUUGGCACCGUGCACGCCCUGCUCAUCCACUCUACACCUGUGCACUUACUGUAGGUUUCAGACGCGAUGCGAGUUUAGGCUCGCGGAGCUUAUGGGGCUUACGUUUCAACCACAAACGCUUCAGUAUCAGAAUGUGUAUCGCGAUGUAACGCAUCUAAAUACAACUUUCAGCAACGGAUCUCUUGGCUCUC